AUGGCUUCCAACGCGAGCAUGUUGGCCAUGAUCAUGGCGUGCGCGCUCCUCCUCGCCGGCAGCACGUGCCAUGCCGCCCGCAACCUGGCCGACACGACGCUGGCAGCUGCCGCUCCGGCUGCUAGCGCCGUCCCUGGACUGCCGGCCGUGCCGACCUUACCCGCCGUGCCCGCGGACACGGUCACCCUGAUGCCACCCAUGCCGUCGGUCACCCUCCCCACCGUGCCGCAGGUGACCCUGCCGCCCAUGCCAGCCAUCGUCGCUGUGCCAACCAUGCCGACGCUGCCACCGAUGCCGGCUGUGCCGACGGUGCCGGCCUUGACUGUGCCACCUAUGCCGACUGUGCCCACCAUGCCGCAGGUGACACUGCCGCCCAUGCCCGCUGUUCCUGCAGUGCCCAAGGUGACGGUGCCCCCAAUGCCGGCCAUCGUCAUGCCUAAGAUGACGCUGCCGCCGAUGCCUUCUAUCCCGACCGUCAACGUGCCUAUGCCGUUCUUGGCGCCGCCUCCAUCAACUUAG
This 519-nucleotide ribosomal RNA is filed under the name Triticum aestivum (bread wheat). RNAcentral's name for it is "partial small subunit ribosomal RNA". The record is from RNAcentral. Lineage: Eukaryota; Viridiplantae; Streptophyta; Magnoliopsida; Poales; Poaceae.